GGGGUGCUUAACACAUGCAAGUCGAACGGAAAGGCCCUGCUUUUGUGGGGUGCUCGAGUGGCGAACGGGUGAGUAACACGUGAGUAACCUGCCCUUGACUUUGGGAUAACUUCAGGAAACUGGGGCUAAUACCGGAUAGGAGCUCCUGCUGCAUGGUGGGGGUUGGAAAGUUUCGGCGGUUGGGGAUGGACUCGCGGCUUAUCAGCUUGUUGGUGGGGUAGUGGCUUACCAAGGCUUUGACGGGUAGCCGGCCUGAGAGGGUGACCGGCCACAUUGGGACUGAGAUACGGCCCAGACUCCUACGGGAGGCAGCAGUGGGGAAUAUUGCACAAUGGGCGGAAGCCUGAUGCAGCAACGCCGCGUGCGGGAUGACGGCCUUCGGGUUGUAAACCGCUUUCGCCUGUGACGAAGCGUGAGUGACGGUAAUGGGUAAAGAAGCACCGGCUAACUACGUGCCAGCAGCCGCGGUGAUACGUAGGGUGCGAGCGUUGUCCGGAUUUAUUGGGCGUAAAGGGCUCGUAGGUGGUUGAUCGCGUCGGAAGUGUAAUCUUGGGGCUUAACCCUGAGCGUGCUUUCGAUACGGGUUGACUUGAGGAAGGUAGGGGAGAAUGGAAUUCCUGGUGGAGCGGUGGAAUGCGCAGAUAUCAGGAGGAACACCAGUGGCGAAGGCGGUUCUCUGGGCCUUUCCUGACGCUGAGGAGCGAAAGCGUGGGGAGCGAACAGGCUUAGAUACCCUGGUAGUCCACGCUGUAAACGGUGGGUACUAGGUGUGGGGUCCAUUCCACGGGUUCCGUGCCGUAGCUAACGCUUUAAGUACCCCGCCUGGGGAGUACGGCCGCAAGGCUAAAACUCAAAGGAAUUGACGGGGCCCCGCACAAGCGGCGGAGCAUGCGGAUUAAUUCGAUGCAACGCGUAGAACCUUACCUGGGUUUGACAUGGAUCGGGAGUGCUCAGAGAUGGGUGUGCCUCUUUUGGGGUCGGUUCACAGGUGGUGCAUGGCUGUCGUCAGCUCGUGUCGUGAGAUGUUGGGUUAAGUCCCGCAACGAGCGCAACCCUUGUUCACUGUUGCCAGCACGUUAUGGUGGGGACUCAGUGGAGACCGCCGGGGUCAACUCGGAGGAAGGUGGGGAUGACGUCAAGUCAUCAUGCCCCUUAUGUCCAGGGCUUCACGCAUGCUACAAUGGCUGGUACAGAGAGUGGCGAGCCUGUGAGGGUGAGCGAAUCUCGGAAAGCCGGUCUCAGUUCGGAUUGGGGUCUGCAACUCGACCUCAUGAAGUCGGAGUCGCUAGUAAUCGCAGAUCAGCAACGCUGCGGUGAAUACGUUCCCGGGGCUUGUACACACCGCCCGUCAAGUCAUGAAAGUUGGUAACACCCGAAGCCGGUGGCCUAACCGUUGUGGGGGAGCCGUCGAAGGUGGGACUGGUGAUUAG
This 1430-nucleotide ribosomal RNA is filed under the name uncultured organism. RNAcentral describes it as "partial small subunit ribosomal RNA". It matches the Rfam family "Bacterial small subunit ribosomal RNA". The record is from RNAcentral.